This 454-nucleotide ribosomal RNA is filed under the name uncultured Mangroviflexus sp. Its description in RNAcentral is "partial 16S ribosomal RNA". It matches the Rfam family "Bacterial small subunit ribosomal RNA", at positions 341 to 792 of the family's 1533-position model. The record is from RNAcentral. Lineage: Bacteria; Pseudomonadati; Bacteroidota; Bacteroidia; Marinilabiliales; Marinilabiliaceae.
ACGGAAGGCAGCAGUGAGGAAUAUUGGUCAAUGGGCGGAAGCCUGAACUAGCCAUGUCGCGUGCAGGACUACGGCCCUACGGGUCUUAAACUGCUUUUGCAAGGGGAUAAAGUGGGGCACGCGUGCCCCUUUGUAGGUACCUUGCGAAUAAGGAUCGGCUAACUCCGUGCCAGCAGCCGCGGUAAUACGGAGGAUCCGAGCGUUAUCCGGAUUUAUUGGGUUUAAAGGGUGCGUAGGCGGGCUGUUAAGUCAGCGGUGAAACCCCCGGGCUCAACCCGGGGACUGCCAUUGAAACUGGCGGCCUUGAGUACGUUGGGAGUGCGCGGAAUGUGUGGUGUAGCGGUGAAAUGCAUAGAUAUCACACAGAACACCGAUCGCGUAGGCAGCGCACUACGCCGCAACUGACGCUGAGGCACGAAGGCGCGGGGAUCGAACAGGAUUAGAUACCCUGGUA